GAAUUACUUUGCAGGCAAUCUCCAUGACAAGCCUGCUGGUGGGAUCUGAUGGCAAUUCUGGAGGGAGGGAAGAAAAAUAGGGCUGUUGAAAGAAAUUGGGGCUCAGAAACUGGAAGAAGACAGGCAGAUGACAGGAUGAUGGAUGCAGCAUGUGGAGCUGCAGAGGGACUCCCAGGAGAGGAUUCCAUUAACCAGCCAGGAUGAGGCAGCUAGCAGCAGCUUGAAAUCAGGAGUAGUCAAGAAGCCAUCAUUCCCAGGUUGGCCACCAAUACCAGGGAAGAGGUCAUUGGAAGUAAUUGCAAAGAGGACAGAAUCACCGGACCAACACUGGUGUGGCCUAUGCAAACCACUUUGCUUCACAUAGGAUUCAAUCUUCAUUUCUGACUUCAGAUGUGAAAUAAAAAGCAUUCUGGGAAACAUGGAAUGUUAUGCAGAAAUAAAAUAUUGUCGCAAAACCUGAUAACUAGUGAUAACCACUGUUAGUAUUGAUGGCCGUGGAUUUUCCACUGUAGGCUGCAUAAUUUGACUAUUGUGAGUGAUUCUGCUCUAAGUAUGGUUGUGCAGAUGUCUUUUUUGGCAUUCUGAUGUCAGCUCCUUCAGAUAUGUAUCCAGAAGUGAGAUUAGCAGAUCAAAGGAUCAAUACUAGUCCUGUUUUCAGCAUUUUGAGGAAUCUCUGUUCUGGUUCCUCUAAAGAUGGCAUCAAUUUCCUUUUCCACCAAUAGUAUACAAGAAUUCCCUUUCUCUACACUCUGACUGUAGAGAAAUGGAAUUUCCAAACAAAAUCAAAUACGUUGUUUCCUGCCACCACCCCUCCUUCUCUAAAUAGGCUUUUCUUGCCAUUGGAAAAGUUAAACAAACCAAAAGUAGUCACUCAACAUUUUUUUAAAUGCCCUCCUAGGGACAUUAGUGUCCCAGUGUAAAGCCAUUGACUUCGCUUCUUCUUGACCAAGCAAGACCUCAGAACCAUUGUGCUCACUGGUGAUCUUUCUGCUGGAAAGUUGUUCCUCCAGUAAGCUGAAUGACACUUUCCCUUAUAUCCAUUAGCUCCCAGCACAAAACGCUACAGUAGAGAGACCCUUUCUAUCUUUCUAGCUAAAACAGUUUUCCUGGCUUGUCAAUCUCUGGCUGUGGAUACUUCUUAAGUUCUUUUCAUCAUAAUCUGAUUAGUCAACCUAUUCUUACCUUAUAUGUCUAUUUUCUUACACAGCCUUUGCUCAGCCGAUUCAAUAGAUGCUAAUGACUCUGAGGACAUCUCUAAUUGAAGAGGGACUUUUUUAUUACAAUGAUCUAUUUCCAGGGUUGGGAACUAGUGCCUGGGCUUUAGCAGUUACUCAAUAAAUAUCUGUUGUUAGAGCGUCUGGUUGUCCACUUACCCUCCUUCCUGUGUACCCCACCAACACUGCCUCCCAUCAAGAUCACAACAGUGACAAGCUGUGUUUCACCCCAGUAAUGGAAGGGAAAUCAUUGUUUUCUCUUCCCUGAGUCUUUCUUAUUAUGGGCAAAUGCAAUCAACCAGCCUGUCACUUGCCCAUACCACCUGUAUGUUUAGCUUUGCCUUUUGUUCCUAUCAAUGGUAUGGAUUUAGAAAUCAGGAAUCAAACUUCCCAUUAUAUGAUGCUACUAUAUUGUUAUGAAAGCUUUUCCCUCUCCAGAGAAAAAGAUGGUUUUUAUUUUAUAUAUUAAAAAUAAUUUUUCAUACAGUGUAUUUUAAUCACAUUCUUUCCCUCCUUCAACUCUUGGAAGAUCCUUAAACCUCCCUACCCACCUAACACUAUGUUCUUUCUCUGUCAAAAACAAAAGCAAAACAACUAAAUGAAAAUUAAAACAAAUAAACCUAAAGCCAAUAGGACAAAAAAACUACUAAAAAGCAAGCACAGACAUGCAUGUGUGUACCAUCAGACACAUCACACCCCACAAAUACACCACACGCAUACACAUACACAUACACAUACACACACACAUACACACACACACACACACACACACACACGAGUCCAUUUUGUGUUGAUCAAAUAUCCCUGGUCUGCCCUGAAGUGUGGUUGCUAUACCCAGUGUUACUCCAUUAAAGAAAAGUGAUUUUUCUGCAGAUAUCAGUUGAAAAUAGCUUCUUAGUCAAAGGUGUCCACUUCCCCUUAUCAGUGCUGGGGUUUUGUCUGGCUUGAAAUUGUGGAGGUCCAGUGCAUGCUGACACUGUCUCUGUAGGGUUAUAUGUACACCAGAGCCUUUUGUGUCUAAAAGAUGUUGCUUCCUUGGAGUCAUCCACCCUCUAUGGCUCUAACAAUCUUUCCACCUUAGAAGAAGAGAUCUAGGGAGGUGAAAGAAAGAAAGAAAGAAAG
This 2336-nucleotide long non-coding RNA is filed under the name Mus musculus (house mouse). Its description in RNAcentral is "long non-coding RNA chrX:57788239-57790575". The record is from RNAcentral. Lineage: Eukaryota; Metazoa; Chordata; Mammalia; Rodentia; Muridae.